CCUACGGGAGGCAGCAGUGGGGAAUAUUGGGCAAUGGAGGAAACUCUGACGCAGCAACGCCGCGUGAAUGAUGAAGGUCUUCGGAUUGGAAAGUUCUUUUCUAAGGGAAGAAGAAAGUGACGGUACAUUAGGAAUAAGCCUCGGCUAACUACGUGCCAGCAGCCGCGGUAAUACGUAGGAGGCGAGCGUUAUCCGGAAUGACUGGGCGUAAGGGGUGCGUAGGUGGUCUGGAAAGUCAGUAGCGUAACCCCAAGGCUCAACCUUGGAACUACUACUAAAACUGUUGGACUUGAGUGCAGGAGGGGCAACUGGAAUUCCUAGUGUAGGAGUGGAAUGCGUAGAUAUUAGGAGGAACAUCAGUGGCGAAGGCGAGUUGCUAGAACAUAACUGACACUGAGGCACGAAAGCGUGGGGAGCAAACAGGAUUAGAUACCCUAGUAGUC
This 443-nucleotide ribosomal RNA is filed under the name uncultured bacterium. Its description in RNAcentral is "partial 16S ribosomal RNA". It matches the Rfam family "Bacterial small subunit ribosomal RNA", at positions 338 to 795 of the family's 1533-position model. The record is from RNAcentral.